AGGAUGAACGCUAGCGGCAGGCUUAACACAUGCAAGUCGAGGGGUAUAUGGUGCUUGCACUAUAGAGACCGGCGCACGGGUGCGUAACGCGUAUGCAAUCUACCUUGUACAGGGGAAUAGCCCAGGGAAACUUGGAUUAAUGCCCCAUAGUAUUAUGAAAUAGCAUUAUUUUAUAAUUAAAGAUUUAUCGGUACAAGAUGAGCAUGCGUCCCAUUAGCUAGUUGGUAUGGUAACGGCAUACCAAGGCUACGAUGGGUAGGGGCCCUGAGAGGGGGAUCCCCCACACUGGUACUGAGACACGGACCAGACUCCUACGGGAGGCAGCAGUGAGGAAAUAUUGGACAAUGGGCGAAAGCCUGAUCCAGCCWUGCCGCGUGCAGGAAGACUGCCCUAUGGGUUGUAAACUGCUUUUGUACGGGAAGAAAACACCCCCACGUGUGGGGGCUUGACGGUACCGUAAGAAUAAGCAUCGGCUAACUCCGUGCCAGCAGCCGCGGUAAUACGGAGGAUGCAAGCGUUAUCCGGAAUCAUUGGGUUUAAAGGGUCCGUAGGCGGACAAUUAAGUCAGGGGUGAAAGUCUGCAGCUCAACUGUAGGACUGCCCUUGAUACUGGUUGUCUUGAAUCGUUGUGAAGUGGUUAGAAUAAGUAGUGUAGCGGUGAAAUGCAUAGAUAUUACUUAGAAUACCGAUUGCGAAGGCAGAUCACUAACAACGUAUUGACGCUGAGGGACGAAAGCGUGGGGAGCGAACAGGAUUAGAUACCCUGGUAGUCCACGCCGUAAACGAUGGAUACUAGCUGUCCGACCUUCG
This 810-nucleotide ribosomal RNA is filed under the name uncultured bacterium. Its description in RNAcentral is "bacterial SSU rRNA". It matches the Rfam family "Bacterial small subunit ribosomal RNA", at positions 26 to 833 of the family's 1533-position model. The record is from RNAcentral.